CCCUUAGAUGUUCUGGGCCGCACGCGUGCUACACUGAUGCAUUCAACGAGUCUAAAACCUGGUCUGAUAGGGCUGGGUAAUCUUUUGAAAGUGCAUCGUGAUUGAGAUAGAUGAUUGCAAUUCUUCAUCUUCAACGAGGAAUGCCUAGUAAACGCAAGUCAUCAGCUUGCAUUGAUUACGUCCCUGCCCUUUGUACACACCGCCCGUCGCUCCUACCGAUUGAAUGAUCCGAUGAAUACCAUGGAUUGAGAGUACGAAUAGGUUCGCUUAUUUCUGCUGCUCGAGAAGUGGAGUAAAUCUUAUCAUUUAGAGGAAGGAGAAGUCGUAACA
RNAcentral lists this ribosomal RNA (330 nucleotides) under uncultured eukaryote. Its description in RNAcentral is "partial 18S ribosomal RNA". It matches the Rfam family "Eukaryotic small subunit ribosomal RNA", at positions 1470 to 1796 of the family's 1831-position model. The record is from RNAcentral.